RNAcentral lists this ribosomal RNA (397 nucleotides) under uncultured bacterium. RNAcentral describes it as "partial 16S ribosomal RNA". It matches the Rfam family "Bacterial small subunit ribosomal RNA", at positions 523 to 918 of the family's 1533-position model. The record is from RNAcentral.
CUACGUAGGUGGCAAGCGUUGUCCGGAUUUACUGGGUGUAAAGGGCGUGUAGGCGGGGAUGCAAGUCAGAUGUGAAAUUCCGGGGCUCAACCCCGGCGCUGCAUCUGAAACUGUAUCUCUUGAGUGCUGGAGAGGAAAGCGGCAUUCCUAGUGUAGCGGUGAAAUGCGUAGAUAUUAGGAGGAACACCAGUGGCGAAGGCGGCUUUCUGGACAGUAACUGACGCUGAGGCGCGAAAGCGUGGGGAGCGAACAGGAUUAGAUACCCUGGUAGUCCACGCCGUAAACGAUGGAUACUAGGUGUAGGAGGUAUCGACCCCUUCUGUGCCGGAGUUAACACAAUAAGUAUCCCACCUGGGGAGUACGGCCGCAAGGUUGAAACUCAAAUGAAUUGACGGGG